Homo sapiens (human) is the source of this 2364-nucleotide long non-coding RNA. Ensembl annotates it as androgen receptor regulated long noncoding RNA 1. Its record names the gene ARLNC1. NCBI's taxonomy places the organism in Eukaryota, Metazoa, Chordata, Mammalia, Primates, Hominidae. The record is from Ensembl.
AGCCGUCUGUGAAGCAAAGUGCAAGAUUUCAUCAGACACUGAAUCUGCUGGGGACUUAAUCUUGGAGUUUCCAGUCUCCAGAAUUAUAAGAAAUAAAUUUCUAUUAUUUAUAAAUUAACCAAUCUAAGGUUUUCAGGUGCUGGUUCCAUGGCUCUUCCUGAGCCGAAAAUAAGGAAACUCCAUAGACCUUGUCCACUGGAACUCGUUCCCAUCUACCCUCCACUCUAUCCAGCCCCAUGAGGACAAGGAACAUGAUUGGUUUUGCUCACUGCCGUAUCUUCCGUACCUAGUACGUAACAGGACAUCAAUAAAUAUUAGUUGAAUGGAAGAUUAAAUCAACAAAAUGGGUGAUGGAUCUCUGCAGUAAGUGGAAGAGUUCUUCAUGGCCCCCAAGGUUAUAUCCAUCUAGAACUUCAGCACGUAAUUUCAUCUGGAAAUAGUGCCUUUGCGGAUAUAAGUUAGGUAAAACUGAAGAUGAGAUCAUACUGGAUUAGGAUGGGAUCUAAAUCCAAUGAAAAUGUCUUCAUAAAAAACAGGAAAGAACCCAUAGAAACACAAGGAAGAAGGUCAUGUGAAGAUGGAGGCAGAGAUUGGAGGGAUGCAGCCACCGGCCCAGGAAUGCCAGCAGCCACCCAGAAGCUGGAAGGAAAUGAGGGAUUCUCUCCUAGAACCUUUAGAGAGAACAUGGUCCUGUGAACAGCUUGAUUUUGGACUUGCCCAUAGCUUGUAUACUCUUACUUUGGAUACAAUUUUAUCCAAACUUGGCUAAACAGUUUCUCAGCCUAUGGAAAAUUUAAAAUGGAGAAGAUUCAACUCGAUUCUUACAGAUUCAAAGCAAGAAAAUGAUGGGAACAUAGGAGGAGACCAAGAAAGCCUAUAAAAAGCAAAAAUAUGAAGUGAACAUUGUGGUAGCUUUAAGAUGUUUAGUGUAGCUGCAGGCACCCUAUACACAUGAAAACCCCCAAGGGGAAUCCCCAUAUCACAGUGUAGUGUGAUAUUUGACAUUCGUGAUCAUCUAGAGAUGUACAGAAAAGGUGAAUCUGUGUUCUGUAUAUUCUGCCUAAGGCAAAGAAAUGUUUAGCUCUCUUUAAAAUAGUUCCAUAAUUUUUUCUAAAAAGCUUUGCUUGAAAACUGUAAGCUUCCCAUAUCUGGAGCAUUUCACUUUAAAUAUUUGGAUAAAUAUGUUAUCUUCUUACUUGGACAUUUCAUGUGUUUAGGGAUUGUCUUCUAAAUUCUUCCUAAUUCAUAUAGCUGCUAACACUUCCCGCAGAGCUAAACCAUUACAGAUAUGAAAUAAAGACCUAUUGAUUUGACUUACUUUUACUUGUAAAACCUUCUGAGUGUUAUAACCUCAUUUAAUCUUUCAGCAUUUACAGUUUCAAGAGUUUGUGUCACAAUUAGAAGAAUUCAGCUGCACCUCCAAGUGACAGCAGUUGCUCUGGUUGGUGGGUGAUCUCAGGAGGCUUGAGAAUUGCUUUGUCUGUGAGGGAAGUAAGACAUUUUCAGAGCCCCACUUUAGAAGGUGUGAACUGGCUAGAUAAUGAACCCCAGGGCUAACGCUGCUAUAGCAGUGGGAAGGAGGUGAUGGGUUUUCAGUUUGGACCUCAAACAUCAAUACCCUCCUGGUACGGGGAGGAACAGAGUCCCUCCUUUACUUCUCCAUUAGAAAGAAUGAGAUGGCAAGACAAUGAAACAGGCAAAGUGAACAGAGAUGCAAGACAAAAUUCAGGUGAGAGAGCCAGAGCAUCACUCAGCCAUUCCUGACAUGUAAAACAGGCAACUAGAAAUUUGCAGAAAGGAAGCGAAGUCUCCAUAAAGAUGUUUUUAAAGUGAGCUUGAAGUAUUUGGAGACAAUUCAGUGUUACAUAAAAUCUGCAAAUCUCUGGAUAAAGAAGCAGAGAUCCCAGCAUGGGACAAAUGGAGCCUCAAAAGUGGGAAGAAGACAGAGAAGACCAGGGCAGAAUGCAUCUCUUCCUUUCUCUUGGCUUUCCUGGAUAAGGACUGCAUCAUUCCUGUGGAAGGACAGGCCAUCAGCUCCGAAACACUGUAUGUAUUUUCCAGUAUAUACUGCUAGCUGUGUGAUGUUGGGAAAAUUUGUUACCCUGUCUAACCCCCACUUCCCUCAUCUGUAAAAUGGAAAUAAUGAUAGUACCUACCUAUCUCAUAGGUGGCAACUACAAGGGGCAGCACACUCAGGGAAUUAAGGAAGUUUCAGUGAACAUCAACUUUAUGAACACAGUGUUCAUAAAGGCAGGUCAGUGCAGUGGUUUGGGAGCCAGGAGAAGCACGUGGGCCGGAGUGUGCCUGCAGGAGACAAGGUCAGAGAUGUUGCUAAUAAUGGAGAAUAAAGGAUGCAUUCUCAUU